Molecule: ribosomal RNA, 253 nt
Filed under: uncultured bacterium
Lineage: Bacteria
Description: partial 16S ribosomal RNA
Rfam family: Bacterial small subunit ribosomal RNA
Source: RNAcentral
UACGUAGGGACCGAGCGUUGUCCGGAUUCAUUGGGCGUAAAGAGCUCGUAGGCGGUUUGUCGCGUCUGCCGUGAAAGUCCGGGGCUCAACUCCGGAUCUGCGGUGGGUACGGGCAGACUAGAGUGAUGUAGGGGAGACUGGAAUUCCUGGUGUAGCGGUGAAAUGCGCAGAUAUCAGGAGGAACACCGAUGGCGAAGGCAGGUCUCUGGGCCGAUACUGACGCUGAGGAGCGAAAGCGUGGGGAGCAAACAGG